RNAcentral lists this ribosomal RNA (322 nucleotides) under uncultured eukaryote. RNAcentral describes it as "partial 18S ribosomal RNA". It matches the Rfam family "Eukaryotic small subunit ribosomal RNA", at positions 1470 to 1796 of the family's 1831-position model. The record is from RNAcentral.
CCCUUAGAUGUUCUGGGCCGCACGCGUGCUACACUGAGUGGAUCAGCGGGUCAGGUUGCGCGAAAGCGUUUCCUAAUCUUUAAAUCCGCUCGUGAUGGGGAUUGACGGUUGCAAUUUUCUGUCAUGAACGAGGAAUACCUUGUAAGCGCGGGUCAUCAUCCCGCGCUGAAUACGUCCCUGCCCUUUGUACACACCGCCCGUCGCUCCUACCGAUUGAGUGGUCCGGUGAGGCUUUGGGAUCUGAGCGGAAAGAGCGUUUCGCUGUUUCUGCUCGGAAAACUAAGUCGAACCUUAUCAUUUAGAGGAAGGAGAAGUCGUAACA